CACAUUUCUGCAUGUGUUGCCUAAUAAUGCCAUAAUUGCAAUCUAUCAUAUAAUUAUUGAUAAUAUAAGGGCUGCUGUUAAGUCAUUAAUGAUGUUGAUCUGAUCACAUUGACUCUGUUCUCAUUCUUUUUCACAACACUUUUAUCCACUUAAGUACGGAGAGAAUUGUACAAGUUGUAACCCGUCUUGUUACCCCCGCUAAUAAUGUAUUAAGAGAC
This is a non-coding RNA of Pelobates cultripes (western spadefoot toad), 218 nucleotides long. The record is from the annotation of a GenBank genome assembly. Lineage: Eukaryota; Metazoa; Chordata; Amphibia; Anura; Pelobatidae.